GCCCGGAUGGCGGAACUGGUAGACGCAGCGGAUUCAAAAUCCGCCGAGCUGACACUCGUGUGGGUUCGAGUCCCACUCCGGGCA
Molecule: transfer RNA, 84 nt
Filed under: Oceanicella actignis
Lineage: Bacteria; Pseudomonadati; Pseudomonadota; Alphaproteobacteria; Rhodobacterales; Paracoccaceae
Rfam family: tRNA
About the family: Transfer RNA (tRNA) molecules are approximately 80 nucleotides in length. Their secondary structure includes four short double-helical elements and three loops (D, anti-codon, and T loops). Further hydrogen bonds mediate the characteristic L-shaped molecular structure. tRNAs have two regions of fundamental functional importance: the anti-codon, which is responsible for specific mRNA codon recognition, and the 3' end, to which the tRNAs corresponding amino acid is attached (by aminoacyl-tRNA synthetases). tRNAs cope with the degeneracy of the genetic code in two manners: having more than one tRNA (with a specific anti-codon) for a particular amino acid; and 'wobble' base-pairing, i.e. permitting non-standard base-pairing at the 3rd anti-codon position.
Source: Rfam by way of RNAcentral